RNAcentral lists this non-coding RNA (43 nucleotides) under uncultured Pelagophyceae. The record is from RNAcentral. Lineage: Eukaryota; Pelagophyceae.
AAUCGAUCGCCCGACGCAAGAAGAAGAAACAUGCGGCGGUCGA